Molecule: long non-coding RNA, 2852 nt
Organism: Arachis duranensis
Lineage: Eukaryota; Viridiplantae; Streptophyta; Magnoliopsida; Fabales; Fabaceae
Exons: 8
Source: RefSeq, a predicted model, not a curated record
CCAACCCUCUUCGUCGCGCUUCUAACCCUUUUCAUUGCGUGUCCAACCCCUCCAACCCUCUUCAUCGCGAAAUACAGAAUUUAUCGUGCAACCCUCUCUCACAACCCCUCCUUCGGUGCUCCUUCUGUCAGCGCUCCUUCCGUCUCGGUGCUCACUCUCUCUCUCUCUCGCAAACCCUUCGCGGUGCUCGCUCUCUCUCGCAAGCCCUCAAUCAUUGCUCCUCCCUCAAACGUCACUGCUUCUCCAAUAAUUACCCUCACCUGUAACCCUCUGUUUCUCCUCUUACAUUCCCUUCGCGCCUCCAGUCUCCGUUAUCCUUCCUCCAUGUCCUGUUCCUGUUCGUCGAUCUCUGCUUCCUUUGCGUGUCUUGUCAUUCUCUGCCUGUGGCUGUGCUGAAGCCCUAGUUACUACUUGCAGGGUUCCACCACAGGUAAUGUUCGUUCAUCCUUUGCAAAACCAUGGCCCCCAGCUAAAGUUAAUAAUUUAAAGAAGGCUGGUCCAAAAGCUUAGACCUUGAAAAUUGCCAAGGUAGUGAAGUCGGGUGCUACCUUUAAGAAGAAGGCUAAGAAGAUCAGAACAAAGGUCACAUUCUAUUGCCCCAAGACUUUGAAGAAGGAUAGGAACCCUAAAUACCCCCGUAUUAGUGCCUCACCAAGGAACAACCUUGACCAUUAUCAAAUUCUUAAAUACCCUCUUACAACCGAGUUGGCAAUGAAGAAAAUUGGAGACAACAACACUAUGGUUUUCAUUGUUGACUUGCGUGCUGACAAGAAGAUAAUCAAGGACGCACUGAAGAAAAUAUAUGACAUCUAAGCCAAGAAAGUGAACACUUUGAUAAGGCCUCACUCUGACUAUGUUACACCUACGGUAUAUAGCCGGUCUUAAACCCGAAUAAAAGAGGAGGGUUGUGUUAGACCUUCGAUAACCAACAUAAAAAUUUAGUCGAAUCUUCAUGACAUGGAUCAAAGAUGUUAUUGCGCUAAAACUAGGUCGUUGCACGGAAGGAGCGCACUGUAUGGCUUGCGUAUAGUGUCAAAUGAGCAAGAUCCAUUGCAUCGGUGCCCGAGUGUACUUUUAAAUGAGCAAGGGUUCCCGCGUUUUCGUGAACGGACGAAGGUAAAUAUGCUAGUUCACAAAGAAAAAGGUAAAGGUAAAGGUUGGAGUAACAAAAGGUUGAGAUUUAGGACAUGGAACAUAGGCACUCUAAUAGGAAAAUCUAUGGAGGCGGUGGAUACCAUAACAAUGAGGAAGAUUAACAUCAUGUGCCUACAAGAAAUAAAAAGGGUCGGCACAAAGGCUAGGGAGUUGGAUACCUCUGGAUUUAAACUUUGGUAUACAGGAAAGGUGAAGAAUAGGAAUGUGAUAGGUAUUUUCGUGGAUAAGUAGUGGAAGAAAGAUGUAGUGGAUGUUAAGAGGGUGGGUGAUCAUAUUAUCUCUAUCAAACUUGUGGUGGAAGAAGGUACCUUUCAUAUGAUUAGUGCCUAUGCACUACAAGUGGGUUUAGACGAGCAAUACAAGAUAAGGUUUUGGGAUGAUCUAGAGAGUUUGGUCCAAGACAUACCUUCGAGAGAUAAGAUUUUCUUAGGAGGAUAUUUAAAUAGCCAUGUUGAAAGAGAAGUGUCUGAAUAUGGAAAUAUUCACGGAGGCCAUAGUUUCAGGGUGGUCAAUACCGAGGGUAAAACUAUUUUGGAUUUUUCCUCAACCUUUGACAUUCUCAUCGCAAAUACAUGUUUUAAAAAGAGAGACGAACAUCUUAUAACCUAUAGGAGUGGUAUGACAAGCUCUCAAAUCAGCUUCUUUUUGUUGAGGAGAGUUGAUCCAAAAUUUUGCAUUAAUUAUAAAAUUAUUUUGGGAGAGAUUUUAAUAACAAUGUUCUGAAAACCGGUUCGAACCGGCUGGUCGAACCGGUCGAACCGGGAACCGCUGUUAAAUACGGUUCGGAUAGAUAGUAAAACCGCCAAUUUUAAAAACCGGAAUUGAGUCGCCGAACCGGUCGGAAACCGGUCGGUCGAACCGAAUCGUGACCCGGCCGGUUUUUUAAAUUUAGGCAAAACGCUGCGUUUUGCAUGGUGAAAGGGCCAAAAGCCCAAAACGAAAAGAGAACCCUAGCUACCCACUCCUCUCCUCUCCUCUCCUCUCGAGCCUCAGCCUCCACUCUCACCAGUUCUCACUCCUCUCAGCCUAUGUUCUGCUUGCCCAAAUCAUUCACUCUCCCUUAUCCAACCCUAGCUACUCUUUUCGACCCACUGCCGCCUCUCCGUCGAGCCAUUGCCGCGUCCGUCCGUCGAGCUCGGCCACCGUUCGUCCGUGUAGCCACUGCACCCAAGUCUCCAACUCCCCUGCUCUCUUCUUCCGCGAGCUCGCCCAUCCCCUACUCUUUGCAUCUUCUUGCCAUCAGCUUCAUCUUCUUGCCGUCGUGUGGUCGGUGUCGUCCAUCAAUGAAGGGUCUGUCGGCGUCGCCUUCGAAGGACAAACUCUAGCGAUGGCUCAAGGCAGGAGAAAUAUGGAAUGACUAACAAACCCCAAGGAGAGCCUAAGGAUGCGCAACGAUCGAACAAAGGUGAAAGAGGUGUCUUCCGAAGUAUCAAAGUAUAUCCACUGGAACCAAAUGACAAGAGACUUAAUUAUGAACCACCUACAGAUUUACUUAGCAAGCUGUCCCUGGUUUCUGAAGUGAAAAAACCUGCAAAACUGCCAUCUAAGGUGCAGCCAAUUUCCUAGGUUCAGCUAUCUCAGCACUCAUAUAACAACUUAAGAUUCUUUUGAGUGGUUAAAGCCUUAAAGGUUUAUUGAAAGAGAUUCAGAAAAACAUUUUCUUUGAAUGAUAUUUUAAAGCUUACAUUAGACUAUAA